AAUAGAUACCCGGGUAGUCCUGGCAGUAAACGGUGCGCGUUUGGUGUGGGAGGAAUCGACCCCUUCCGUGCCGGAGCUAACGCGUUAAACGCGCCGCCUGGGGAGUACGGUCGCAAGAUUAAAACUCAAAGAAAUUGACGGGGGCCCGCACAAGCGGUGGAGUAUGUGGCUUAAUUCGAUGCAACGCGAAGAACCUUACCUGGGCUUGACAUGCAUCUCUAAGUCGGUGAAAGCCGGCGAGUGCCGCAAGGUACAAUUUGCACAGGUGCUGCAUGGCUGUCGUCAGCUCGUAUCGUGAGAUGUUGGGUUAAGUCCCGCAACGAGCGCAACCCCUGUGAUCUGUUGCUAACCGGCUUGUCCGGAGCACUCUGGUCAGACUGCCCUGUGAAACGGGGAGGAAGGUGGGGAUGACGUCAAGUCAGCAUGGCCCUUACGCCCAGGGCUGCACACGUACUACAAUGCUCAGUACAGAACGAGCCGAAACCGCGAGGUGGAGGAAAUCCCUAAAACUGAGCCCAAUUCGGAUCGCAGG
Molecule: ribosomal RNA, 532 nt
Filed under: uncultured bacterium
Lineage: Bacteria
Description: bacterial SSU rRNA
Rfam family: Bacterial small subunit ribosomal RNA
Source: RNAcentral